Molecule: ribosomal RNA, 435 nt
Filed under: uncultured bacterium
Lineage: Bacteria
Description: partial 16S ribosomal RNA
Rfam family: Bacterial small subunit ribosomal RNA
Source: RNAcentral
AGCGAACGCUGGCGGCAGGCUUAACACAUGCAAGUCGAACGCAUCACUUCGGUGGUGAGUGGCAGACGGGUGAGUAACACGUGGGAACGUACCCUUCGAUCUGGGAUAACUUCGGGAAACUGGAGCUAAUACCGGAUACGCCCUUUUGGGGAAAGGUUUACUGUCGAAGGAUCGGCCCGCGUCUGAUUAGCUAGUUGGUGGGGUAACGGCCUACCAAGGCGACGAUCAGUAGCUGGUCUGAGAGGAUGAUCAGCCACACUGGGACUGAGACACGGCCCAGACUCCUACGGGAGGCAGCAGUGGGGAAUAUUGGACAAUGGGCGCGAGCCUGAUCCAGCCAUGCCGCGUGAGUGAUGAAGGCCUUAGGGUUGUAAAGCUCUUUUGUCCGGGACGAUAAUGACGGUACCGGAAGAAUAAGCCCCGGCUAACUUCGUG